AUACUAACCAGUGCAGUCAAAAUUUCAAACCUCGCUUAGUACUCAGCAGAUUACUUGUUAGGUAAGUAACAAUAAAUUCUUUAUUUAUUAUCUAUAUCUUCUGAAUUAAUCAUUCUUACAAAGCGAGCUAUCUAAAAUAAAACUACAAUGUCGAAGCUUUUCUUGCUAUUCCUCUUCAUUGGGAUGAUGACUUUCGUCUAUCAUCCUGCAGCUCAACAGAUUAAAAUUUGCACGACCUACAAAAACUGCACGGAUUACCCUCAGGGCCAUUGUUGCAGAAUAUAGCCCGGGAGCAUGACUGGACAAUGCGUCUCUUGCUGAAUAUCUUAUAAUAAGCGAAGGGUCAGGCUGAGCCUAUCAGUUGACUGCCAAGGAAAAAUUGUCUCCAAUUUCAAUUUCUAUAUAUUUAUCUUUUUCAAAAAAUUAAAUGUCAUUUUUAAUCAAUAAAACUGGCAGCUAAAAAUCUAA
Long non-coding RNA from Cotesia glomerata, 468 nucleotides. RefSeq lists it as uncharacterized. NCBI's taxonomy places the organism in Eukaryota, Metazoa, Arthropoda, Insecta, Hymenoptera, Braconidae. The record is from RefSeq and is a predicted model, not a curated record. The transcript is spliced from 4 exons.